Molecule: long non-coding RNA, 720 nt
Organism: Ananas comosus (pineapple)
Lineage: Eukaryota; Viridiplantae; Streptophyta; Magnoliopsida; Poales; Bromeliaceae
Exons: 3
Source: RefSeq, a predicted model, not a curated record
CUGGAUAAGAAAAAAUCGAAAACAAAACAAAAUGUAGAAAACGAUAACGCCCAAUUAUAUGCGUGUACGAGCAUAAACCUCACAAUUUUUUUUUUUAAUUUUAAUUUUUACCUUUUAAAAAAAAGGUCCAAAUCGGUAUCUCCUCCUUCGUUUGGUCAAAUAGGAAAGCAAAAUGAUGGGUUUGUGCUUCGAUUAUGCGAAAGUAAGUUGACGAUGAGAGAGAGCACGCUGGUCGGCAAACAUGCAUGGGGACAUGAUUGUCUACCUGCGUGCUCUCUCUCGUUGUCAUCGGCUUCGGUGAAGCUACUGCCCAUCAUUAUUUCUAAUCACUUGUUUCUCAAUUUGGUGACCGGUGGAUCGAUCGAUCGCAUGGGGGUUUACUUGAAAUCAUAGGUUUUAAAAAAUUAAUUUUUGUGCUUGAUUCUGUGCUCAUAAGUGGCAUGGUGGCUAUUGCGUGGCAAGAACACUUGCAAGGUAGAGCAGGUUGCAACCUCUCUCUUGGUUGCCCUCUUCUUCUCUCACUCAUAUCCUUCUCUUUGUCCUUCUUCUUCCUCUUAUUCUUGUUCUUGUUCUUGUUCUUGUUAUUGUUCUUCAUUUUCUUAAGGCGCUAACAACUACUCUGAUGAAGUUGAAGUUAUUGGCGAUCUUGGUCGAAUAUGUUGUCAUCGGAAAAGAGGGGGUGGUUAGAGGCUGGAGCAACGCGAUACCAACUAGAUGAAG